CCUGGGUCUUAAGUACCCAGCAGUUUUGAAAAGUACUUCCAUUUAUCUGGGCUGUCCCAAACCUUCAAAGACUUGUAAAAGGACUGGCGAGAUUUUAACCUUGUCCUCUGAGACUUAGAUACUUAAAUUAUCCCUAAACUCCCCAUAAACACUAUUCUGUAAAGUUGAAAACAAAGAGAUACUUCAAGGUGUAGUUCUACAUUUUACAUCUUAAAUAGACUAUAUGAAAAACAUUCAUAAAACACAGAAAGAGGCCCUGGAGUACUCCCGAAGGAUCCUAAUUAUUGAACCACACAAUUAUUCCUCCUUUCAUUUUCAAUACAUGUUGCUUUCACUUCAUUCUAGCCGUCCCAAUGCAGGAGCAAAAAGUACUUAAGAGAGAAUUCAGAUUAGUUUCCACACUGAGAAUUAUUAUGCUUUCACAGAAGAUAGGUGAAAGAGGUUUUAGUCACUCAUAUUGACCCUAUUUCCUUAGUGAUGCUUUAUUGACUAGACCACUAGUUCUGAGCUCACAUCACUGAAUUUGGUGGAACUUACAGUGGCUUCUAGCUUUGUGCCCAAUGCCAUACAUCUAGCAAGGGUAUGUGUUGAAUUCUGCCUUAGAGAUCACAGGUCUGAAACAGGUCUAUGCAGAGAUACUUAAUCUUCUACAAUACAUUUAUUUACCAUUUCUCCUAUUUUAUUUUUUUCCGAUAGUUAAAGAAUAAAUAAUACAGAUAACAAUUAAACCAGCCCUGUACAAUCCUUUCCUGGUACAGGACACACGACUUGGCUGUAAAGCGUUUAGACUUAAAUGCACUUAACUGAAAUACUCAGUUUAAGUGACCAGCUGCCUCAUUCCCUCUAUAGCCAAACAAUAGGCAGUCAGAUGUACAUAGUAAUUCACAUAUUCAUCAUCCCACAUUGGGGAUAUCUAUCUCUUUUUGAACUGUGCACAACUGGAUUCCAAACUUUAUGAAGUCAAAUGAGUUAAACAGGACUAAUGCCAAACAUUUUUUUAUCCUUCUUUUUUUUGUGAUAAUUACCAUUACAUUCCUAUCAUAAAAGUAGUACAAUGAAUUAUGCUGAAGUACAAUUGAAGUGAGCCUCUUGGUUUUUUGUGAAAUUUUCUAUACUCACAUCCUUAGUCUUAUUCUUACCAUUAGCUCGAAAUGGUUUUCAGUUGCAUAACACAGUGAAUAAAAUGUGUUUUCUUGUAGCCAAAAUUAAUGAUUAGAAUCAUAUCAGGUGGCAGAGUCAAGUGAGAGAGAUGCCACCUUCACUCAAUGUUCAACUUUAUUCACAUCUUUCCUCUUCUGAAUCAACCUGCUGCCAGCUUUCUUCACUAUUAAAAUCACUGUAUCUUGAGGUUUUUUUGAAGACAUACAUUCAGGUCUUAGAUUAUAUUGAUAAGCUAUCAAAAAAACAAAAAAAAAGCCCAAAACAACCUCCAAAUACAUUGUGAGCAUGACUGCAUGAAAUAAAGGCAGGUCUGAUGGAUGUUUAAAUAAUGUAAAUGACAUUUUGUAAUAUAUGUCCCUGAUUCUCCUUUCACUUAUGCUGCUGUAAAUCUGGGGGGGAAAAAAGAUCUCCAUGGAUUUUCAUAAACUUACUCUGCUCAAAAGCUGAUAUAGCUGAGAAAGAAUCAAAUGUUCUUCAUUUAAAUAUUGAUUGUGCACUUAGGAAAUUAAAAUAGUUGUGAUGCAUACACCGAAAAUAAAUAUUUUUUUUAAUAUAUAUUAACUUCUGUAAGAUUACAGGCUUAGAGAGAAUUCCAAGUAACUAGCUUGUCUGAAAUGAAAACAUGAAUAUUCCUAACAAAAGGGUUUUGUAUUGAAGGGAUUAGAGGGCAGCAGGUAGCUUGGAAGCCUUUGGAAUAUCCGGUAUAAAAACAGGUCAUUUUUAAUAUAAAAAAAAAAAGCAACAAACUUUAAUACAGAACAACAGAUUGUGCUAAACUCACAAUCCCCUUUCUUCUCCCUCUGACAUGCAAACACCUGACACACAAAGGGAGUCACAUUCAGAAGGAGAUUAUGAUGCAAUGAUCUCGUUGUGAAUGUUGCAUUAUGGUUUCAGCAUCGCUGUAAGAGCUCCCCUGGCACUUGUGCUUACAGCAAUUUGAAUUUCUGUGGCAGCUAGGUAUGAUUUGUGACAGAUUUCAGCCUUGCUCUUCAUUGAAGGAGUACAUUGGCAAGUGCUUGAGGUAUUUACCAUGGAGAUUGGAAAGAAGAAAAUGUAAAGAGAAACAUCUGAGUUCUCCUCCCCCACCAUUUCCCACUACUACCACCAUCACCGAUCAUUAGAUGGCACUUCUGGAUUUCAAUAAAGAGCUGCUUUCCUGCAUCUUUUCCCA
Long non-coding RNA from Pseudopipra pipra, 2332 nucleotides. RefSeq lists it as uncharacterized. The record is from RefSeq and is a predicted model, not a curated record. Lineage: Eukaryota; Metazoa; Chordata; Aves; Passeriformes; Pipridae. The transcript has 2 exons.